RNAcentral lists this ribosomal RNA (490 nucleotides) under uncultured bacterium. RNAcentral's name for it is "partial 16S ribosomal RNA". It matches the Rfam family "Bacterial small subunit ribosomal RNA", at positions 30 to 507 of the family's 1533-position model. The record is from RNAcentral.
AUUGAACGCUGGCGGCAGGCUUAACACAUGCAAGUCGAGCGGUAGCACAGGGGAGCUUGCUCCCUGGGUGACGAGCGGCGGACGGGUGAGUAAUGUCUGGGAAACUGCCUGAUGGAGGGGGAUAACUACUGGAAACGGUAGCUAAUACCGCAUAACGUCGCAAGACCAAAGAGGGGGACCUUCGGGCCUCUUGCCAUCAGAUGUGCCCAGAUGGGAUUAGCUAGUAGGUGGGGUAAUGGCACACCUAGGCGACGAUCCCUAGCUGGUCUGAGAGGAUGACCAGCCACACUGGAACUGAGACACGGUCCAGACUCCUACGGGAGGCAGCAGUGGGGAAUAUUGCACAAUGGGCGCAAGCCUGAUGCAGCCAUGCCGCGUGUGUGAAGAAGGCCUUCGGGUUGUAAAGCACUUUCAGCGAGGAGGAAGGUGGUGAGCUUAAUACGUUCAUCAAUUGACGUUACUCGCAGAAGAAGCACCGGCUAACUCCGUG